This 216-nucleotide ribosomal RNA is filed under the name Glomeromycotina sp. RNAcentral describes it as "partial small subunit ribosomal RNA". The stretch from base 87 to 216 matches the Rfam family "Eukaryotic small subunit ribosomal RNA", at positions 733 to 864 of the family's 1831-position model. Lineage: Eukaryota; Fungi; Glomeromycota. The record is from RNAcentral.
GGGUCAGUAGGUUGGUCGUGCCACCGGUACGUACUGGUCUCACUGAUUCCUCCUUCCUGAAGAACCGUAAUGCCAUUAAUUGGGUGUUGCGGGGAAACAGGACUGUUACUUUGAAAAAAUUAGAGUGUUUAAAGCAAGCUAGCGCUUGAAUACAUUAGCAUGGAAUAAUGAAAUAGGACGAUCGAUCCUAUUUUGUUGGUUUCUAGGAUUGACGUA